AACGAACGCUGGCGGCAGGCUUAACACAUGCAAGUCGAGCGCCCCACAAGGGGAGCGGCAGACGGGUGAGUAACGCGUGGGAACGUACCUUUUGGUUCGGAACAACUCCGGGAAACUGGAGCUAAUACCGGAUAAGCCCUAACGGGGAAAGAUUUAUCGCCGAAAGAUCGGCCCGCGUCUGAUUAGCUAGUUGGUGAGGUAACGGCUCACCAAGGCAACGAUCAGUAGCUGGUCUGAGAGGAUGAUCAGCCACACUGGGACUGAGACACGGCCCAGACUCCUACGGGAGGCAGCAGUGGGGAAUAUUGGACAAUGGGCGCAAGCCUGAUCCAGCCAUGCCGCGUGAGUGAUGAAGGCCUUAGGGUUGUAAAGCUCUUUUGUCCGGGAAGAUAAUGACUGUACCGGAAGAAUAAGCCCCGGCUAACUUCGUG
RNAcentral lists this ribosomal RNA (431 nucleotides) under uncultured bacterium. RNAcentral's name for it is "partial 16S ribosomal RNA". It matches the Rfam family "Bacterial small subunit ribosomal RNA", at positions 29 to 507 of the family's 1533-position model. The record is from RNAcentral.